Microcebus murinus (gray mouse lemur) is the source of this 1837-nucleotide long non-coding RNA. NCBI's taxonomy places the organism in Eukaryota, Metazoa, Chordata, Mammalia, Primates, Cheirogaleidae. The record is from Ensembl.
AGUCUUGCUCUCUUGCCCAGGCUGGAGUGCAGUGGUGUCAUCAUAGCUCACUGCAGCUUCAAAUUUCUGGGCUCAAGUGAUUCUCCUGCCUUAGCCUCCCAAGUAGCUGUGGCUACAGGUUAUGUGCCACCAUGCCUGGCUAAUUUUCUAUUUUUUUUUCUGUGGAGACAGGGUCUCAUAUGUUGCCCAGGCUUGCCUUGAACUACUGGGCUCAAGCAAUCCUCCUGCCUUGGCCUGCCAAAGUGCUAGGAUUACAGAUGUAAGCCACUGUGCCCGGCCAGAAGAUGAGUUUUAAAGGAGAAAUUGUGGCAUUUACAGCAGUCUGGAAGGCGCAAAGAACCCUUGUCUCACGUCAGAAAUACUUCUCUGCUGAAACACUAAUUGGCCAGAGUCAAUGUAGUCUGCUGGGGCUCUUCGUGACUGCUUUGCUUACAAAGUACCAAAGACAUAAAAGCAUUUCCAUGGACUUAAGCCAAAUCAGGUAGGUUUCACUUGUUGUUAUUAUAAGAUCAUUUGGGAAAGGGGCUGGGAAAGAAAACUCAAAAAGCUAAUUAAUGAAAACACACCCAAUUAAAGCCUUGCCCUGAUAUCAUCGCCUCUACCUCCCAUUCCAAGUGAGAGAUUUAUUCUGUAGCUCUUAGGGCAAGGUGGCAGAGCCAUCCGUUGUUGGGAUUUAGGGUCUGGUAGUGCAGCUAUAAGCAGACUUAGAGGCAUUUACAUUGCUGAGAUUUGGGGUGAGGUGAGAUAGGUAAAACGUGUAAUUCAAGAAAUGGUGAUGGAAUAUCAGUGAUAAAAAAUUUAGAAUUUCAUUAAGAACAAGAGGAAAACAGAGGUUUGGGGACAAAGAAUCAAGAGAAAGAAGUCAUCCACUUUCCGGUAUAAAGCUGACAGUUUUUAAUGAUCUCACCAGUCCAAUUGGCCAUGCAGGCAUUCUCAAUGUAUUAGUUGUCUAUCUCUGUGAGAUGAAUUACCACAAAAUGUAGCAGCUUAGAACCGAAAUGUCUGUUAUCUCACACAGUUUCUGAGGGUCAGAAAUCCAGAUGUGACUUAGCUGGUGGUUCUGGCUCAAGGUCUCUCAGGAGGUUGCCAUCGAGAUAUGUCAGGCAGGGUUGUAGUCAUCCGAAGGCUUGACUGGGACGGGCGGACCUAUUUUCAAGAUGACUUGCUCACAUUGCUCUUGGCUGGAGGCCUCUGUGUCUUGCUAUGUGGACUUCUUCAUGGGGCUUGUGGGGCGUCUCACAACUUGGCAGCCAGUUUCCCGAAAGAGUGAUUUGAGAGAAUGAGCAAAGAGGAAGCCACCAUGGCUUUUAUGACCUACCUCAGAGUCUCACAGGGUCAUCUCUGUCCAAGUCCAACUCAUACUCAAGGGGUGGGGAAUCAGGCUCCACCUUUGAAAGGCAGGAGUAGCAAAGAAUUUGUGGGCAUAUUUUAAAACUACUAUGGUAAUGAAUCACAGGAACAAUUCUAUCACUUUGUGGCAAAAGGCUAGCGAUUUUUGAUUGUCUAAUGUGAACAAUUGUUCAUUUAUUCUCCAUAAUUUAACCUUAUGCUGCUAUCCCUUUGCUUAUAUCAUAGAGUACUAAAGAACUUCCUUUUAGGCUAUAGGUGACUAGAAAACAGUGGAUGUGUCUGGCAUUUUAAAGAAAGUGGAUUUUUUUUUUGUUGUUUUUUGGAUUGGCUUACCUGGGUAUGGUUCUAGCAAAAGCCAUUCAGGGGCAAAAGUGCAUCAGAACCACACCACACUCACUCCAUUUGCUUAAAUUCUCUUGGCUGCUUUCAAGGCUGAACCUGAUUAUGUUUUCCUCUACCCUCAAUCACUGAUGGUGCCUAUUCUGUG